Molecule: long non-coding RNA, 654 nt
Organism: Clupea harengus (Atlantic herring)
Lineage: Eukaryota; Metazoa; Chordata; Actinopteri; Clupeiformes; Clupeidae
Source: Ensembl
CAACAGCGCCCCCUUGUGAUAAUAGAUAAAGGAGUUGGCCUACCCUAGGAGAGAAUGAGAAAAAAAUAGAAUCACGUGGAAAACAAGCCUUAUCAUAUCCGGGGCUGGGCAAAUGGAAAGUUAAAGCGUGGGGAAGUCCCUGAGGAGAGGUUUUAGUUCUCUAAAUUCCUCUCCCACCUUUGUAUCCAUUCACAGAAAUGCCACAGCGCUUGUGAAACACAAGAUUCGUCAUUAGAUUGACAGUCUCAGUAUACUUAGGCAUCCUGGAGCUUCUGAGAAAUACAAACAAAUAUUCAUCAUUGAGCCACCAGGGGGCGGAAGAGGCACAGCGGUCUAGGACAUCACUCUCAAGCGGUCCAGACAAAGCCUGUGGACCACACUGUUUGAGCUGAGCCAUUAUGUCAAAGCUUUGCGUACUUCAGUCAUGGUGUCGUCGCUUCGUGCUUGGCAACACCCCACCCCCCACCCACCCAGGAGGACACCAUGAGUGAACACAGAGACUGGCGGUGAGCUCAUCUGUUUAUGACACUGGGCCCCAUCACCAUUACUGUACCAUGACAGGGGAGUGAGUAGAGUAGAGUAGAGUAGAGUAGAGUAGAGUAAACUAGAGUAGAGUAGAGUAGAGUAGAGUAGAGUAGAGUAGAGUAGAGUAGA